AACGCUAGCUACAGGCUUAACACAUGCAAGUCGAGGGGAAACGACAUCGAAAGCUUGCUUUUGAUGGGCGUCGACCGGCGCACGGGUGAGUAACGCGUAUCCAACCUGCCCACCACUUGGGGAUAACCUUGCGAAAGUAAGACUAAUACCCAAUGAUAUCUCUAGAAGACAUCUGAAAGAGAUUAAAGAUUUAUCGGUGAUGGAUGGGGAUGCGUCUGAUUAGCUUGUUGGCGGGGUAACGGCCCACCAAGGCAACGAUCAGUAGGGGUUCUGAGAGGAAGGUCCCCCACAUUGGAACUGAGACACGGUCCAAACUCCUACGGGAGGCAGCAGUGAGGAAUAUUGGUCAAUGGACGAGAGUCUGAACCAGCCAAGUAGCGUGCAGGAAGACGGCCCUAUGGGUUGUAAACUGCUUUUAUAAGGGAAUAAAGUGAGUCUCGUGAGACUUUUUGCAUGUACCUUAUGAAUAAGGACCGGCUAAUUCCGUGCCAGCAGCCGCGGUAAUACGGAAGGUCCGGGCGUUAUCCGGAUUUAUUGGGUUUAAAGGGAGCGUAGGCCGGAGAUUAAGCGUGUUGUGAAAUGUAGAUGCUCAACAUCUGAACUGCAGCGCGAACUGGUUUCCUUGAGUACGCACAAAGUGGGCGGAAUUCGUGGUGUAGCGGUGAAAUGCUUAGAUAUCACGAAGAACUCCGAUUG
RNAcentral lists this ribosomal RNA (696 nucleotides) under uncultured bacterium. RNAcentral's name for it is "bacterial SSU rRNA". It matches the Rfam family "Bacterial small subunit ribosomal RNA", at positions 32 to 715 of the family's 1533-position model. The record is from RNAcentral.